RNAcentral lists this ribosomal RNA (547 nucleotides) under uncultured bacterium. RNAcentral describes it as "partial 16S ribosomal RNA". It matches the Rfam family "Bacterial small subunit ribosomal RNA", at positions 355 to 895 of the family's 1533-position model. The record is from RNAcentral.
UGGGGAAUUUUGGACAAUGGGCGAAAGCCUGAUCCAGCAAUGCCGCGUGUGUGAAGAAGGCCUUCGGGUUGUAAAGCACUUUUGUCCGGGAAAGAAAUCCUUGGCUCUAAUACAGUCGGGGGAUGACGGUACCGGAAGAAUAAGCACCGGCUAACUACGUGCCAGCAGCCGCGGUAAUACGUAGGGUGCAAGCGUUAAUCGGAAUUACUGGGCGUAAAGCGUGCGCAGGCGGUUUGCUAAGACCGAUGUGAAAUCCCCGGGCUCAACCUGGGAACUGCAUUGGUGACUGGCAGGCUAGAGUAUGGCAGAGGGGGGUAGAAUUCCACGUGUAGCAGUGAAAUGCGUAGAGAUGUGGAGGAAUACCGAUGGCGAAGGCAGCCCCCUGGGCCAAUACUGACGCUCAUGCACGAAAGCGUGGGGAGCAAACAGGAUUAGAUACCCUGGUAGUCCACGCCCUAAACGAUGUCAACUAGUUGUUGGGGAUUCAUUUCCUAGUAACGUAGCUAACGCGUGAAGUUGACCGCCUGGGGAGUACGGUCGCAAGAUU